RNAcentral lists this ribosomal RNA (232 nucleotides) under uncultured bacterium. RNAcentral describes it as "partial 16S ribosomal RNA". It matches the Rfam family "Bacterial small subunit ribosomal RNA", at positions 99 to 334 of the family's 1533-position model. The record is from RNAcentral.
CGGACGGGUGAGUAAUGUCUGGGAAACUGCCCGAUGGAGGGGGAUAACUACUGGAAACGGUAGCUAAUACCGCAUAAUGUCUGCGGACCAAAGCGGGGGACCUCCGGGCCUCGCGCCAUCAGAUGAACCCAUAUGGGAUUAGCUAGUAGGUAAGGUAACGGCUUACCUAGGCGACGAUCCCUAGCUGGUCUGAGAGGAUGAUCAGCCACACUGGGACUGAGACACGGUCCAG